CUUAGCGGCCCCGGCAUCAUGUCAUAUUUAGAUACACUGGAGUCUCAUAAACCCAGGCAUAAUGGAGAUCUGUUUCUUUCAGAGUCCGCAGAACAGAGCCUGUGGUCAAGGACAGCAGGUUGACUGAGGAGGAAAAUAAAGAGCAUAAGGAGACUGGAGAAGAAGUGUGUAUUUGGUACAAAAUAAAUAUCAGCAUCGGCAUCAAAUUGUACAACCCAGGCUCCUUAUCGAAACGUACCCCUAUAUACAUUUCUGGAGAACGCGAAAUAUAUCCCAGAAGGUACGUUUUUUUGCAGUUUUUUUUUUUGCAAAUUCACCAGAAGCUACUGUUUACU
RNAcentral lists this long non-coding RNA (335 nucleotides) under Danio rerio (zebrafish). Its description in RNAcentral is "lncRNA (ENSDARG00000117712.1)". The record is from RNAcentral. Lineage: Eukaryota; Metazoa; Chordata; Actinopteri; Cypriniformes; Danionidae.